Molecule: long non-coding RNA, 1066 nt
Filed under: Coffea arabica (coffee)
Lineage: Eukaryota; Viridiplantae; Streptophyta; Magnoliopsida; Gentianales; Rubiaceae
Description: long non-coding RNA (CARA_LNC005782)
Source: RNAcentral
AAGUAUCUACUCUGCUAAAUUGUGAUAUGACGCCUACAAUUACUACUAGAAACGCUACCAAAACAACAGAUUUAGUGCAAGGCAAAAUUUAAGAGAAUCAAAAUGAAUGUCAAUUGUUGCUGAUUCUUAAUCAAAGCGUGGAUCACUUGAGAAGGGUAACCUACACAAACACAAAGAUGAGUGCCCACGUUGACAGACAGCCUUCAUCCUCCAUUCUGUUCCUUAUAUACCGUUUCUGACAUUUUGAUCAAAUCUGACAUCUCCCUUUGCAAUCACCACUUUAUUGCUAUAAUCAACCGUACAUUCUUCCAACCCUGCAAAAGUUCGUGAAAUACUACCACAUUACAGACCUAUACUAACUCGACUAGUACAGGUUUAAACCUUGACAUGCGAUCUUUCAAUCAAUUUGUUACUAUUUCUGAGAAGUUCUCACCAUUGAUCUUUGAAAUUACUUGAAAAACUCUCCAUCUGCAAAUUGCACAUCCAAGAUUCACCUUCAAUACUACCACCUGAAACUGCUUCAAGUAAUGCCAAUUUAAGCAGAAGAUAUCAAACAUUUCAGAAGAAUUGGAUUACUUUCCAACUUUAUCAAGAAAAAAAACAGAAAAGAAGUCAUGUUCUAAAUAUGUGGAAGCACGAAACCAGUAGCUCUAACUCUAGCAAGUGAGUUGAGUUUCUGGACUUACCGAGGGGACUGUUAGAUUUGCAACAUGUAAAAGAACCCGCUUAUCGAGCCUUUCCAUCCAAGCAUAUAGAAGAAAUUUUGUAAUUAAUGAUGACAAAGUAAAUUCUGCUUAUGUACCGAAAACUUAAUCGGUACACAGACCAACUUCCUUUAUCCUCUCCAAUUCACCAUCGUAAAUUAAAGCAAGGCCUACAACUAUGUAGUAUUUUUUUUGGGAGCACUCUUGGAUGUUAGUCAAUAAUGCCUCAACAACUGUGGAUUAUAUAUCACGAUGGCCUUCAAACCUGAGACACUGCGAAGCAAUAUAUGUAGUACCAGGGGUGUGAAUGGUUUGGCCGGUCGCAUGUUACUGACCACCAAGAAAGAUUCGCCUCCCAAAAC